ACACGCCCAGCCCCCUACGGGCAGCCUUUUAUAUACCAUCCUGUGCAUGACGGGGUUGCAGCUGAACCUGCGGGAGUGCUCCCGCCACCGAGCGCAGGAUGCACUUCCGAGGACACGGCCCCCAACUCCGACAAGACCCCUCCAUGGACUGUAGCAGAUCUGUGCGGCUUCCUGGGGCUUUAAGGACUUACUCAGCAUAGCGAAACUGCUGCACCAUCAUACAGAGAGGACAUGGAUGCUAGCACUGAGGGACUAGGUGCGAUGCCUUGCAGGCAGGAUCUAAAGGGGAGCACAUGGCUGUGUACUUCAGGCAAACGCUAAGUAAGCAGGAGCAUAACUACUGCGUGACCCAACAGGAACUGCUAGUCACGGUGCAGGUCUGUAAGAACUUCCUGCCAUACCUCUGUUCCCGUCAGUUCUGGUUGCAGAUGAAACAGGCAUACCUUGUGUAGUUUCUGAAUUUUUGCAACCCAGAGGGACAGCUGCCCCACUGGUUGGAGGUGCUGGUGGAGUUCGAGGUCCAGUGUUGUCUCUAUCUCAUCGGCCACUCAGCUCUGCCAGCUGCUGGAAUUGCUGCCAAGUGGAGGAGCAGGACCAGCUCUCGAUGGUAGUAGCCGCCACCCACACGGCGCUGGGGAACCAGGCCCACUAGGAGCUCAAUCACCAGCAGCUUGUCGUGGAGCAGAGCAGCUACUCAGUGCUGUCAAGGAUGAGGGAAUGGGAGGCGAUCUCUGUCUUCAACCCGGAGAUCUUGGAGACUCCAGACCGCCCCAUUUGGAGUACACUGGCAGCCGGAACUAAGGAGGACGAUGGGGAACCUGGGGCCCUGAGGUCACAGAGAACUCAGGUGACCUUCCAGGAGGGGGGCAAUGUAGUGCUGGGGUUACCCAUCGGACAGCAAGGUAGCAUGCUGGACCGGUGCCAGCAUUGUAAGUGUAAAUAGCUCUGUGUAUUUAUCAUGUAUUAUGUUGUUUUUGUGCCAUACAUAAUGCCAUGUGUAGUGUUAAUGUUAGUUGUAAAUAAUGGUGCACGUGAACCCACCAUUUGUAGUAUGAAUAGUCAGGAUGUUUGGGAUGUCCAGUGAAUGUCUGGUCUCUUUCCAAACUAUUUCCGUUUAUUGAGAGGAUUUUCGGCCAUUAGAAAUAACAUUUAGACAUGCCCACCUUUCCAUACGCCCGCUAUUCCGUCCUGCAGAAACUCACGUCACAACAUGCAAGUCAGGCAACGACUUUACCGCCAAACCAGAAAGUGCCAAGGAAAUUGUGUGUGGCUCCACCCACUUCACCAUACUCUCAUCCUGUUGUUACGCCCACUUUGAAACACCCACAGACCAUUAGACACGCCCACUACUCCAGCCUGCAGAGACCUAUACAAAUUGGUUAGUAACCCUCCACUUCACGUCGGACCACAUAAUACAAGUUGCCGUUGAUUUCAUACAACUUCACAACUCGUCGUGGAUUUUCCCUUAGUUGUACUGUAUGAUCCUCCUCGUUAUCCUACUAAUUUAUUAUAUUUUCGAACCUAAUUUUUCCUAAUA
Long non-coding RNA from Paramormyrops kingsleyae, 1537 nucleotides. RefSeq lists it as uncharacterized. Lineage: Eukaryota; Metazoa; Chordata; Actinopteri; Osteoglossiformes; Mormyridae. The record is from RefSeq and is a predicted model, not a curated record.